AGUGAACGCUGGCGGCAGGCCUAACACAUGCAAGUCGAACGGCAGCGGGUCAGUAGCAAUACUGAUGCCGGCGAGUGGCGGACGGGUGAGGAAUACAUCGGAAUCUACCUUGUCGUGGGGGAUAACGUAGGGAAACUUACGCUAAUACCGCAUACGAACUAUGGUUGAAAGCGGCGGACCGCAAGGCGUCGCGCGAUUGGAUGAGCCGAUGUCCGAUUAGCUAGUUGGCGGGGUAAAGGCCCACCAAGGCGACGAUCGGUAGCUGGUCUGAGAGGAUGAUCAGCCACACUGGAACUGAGACACGGUCCAGACUCCUACGGGAGGCAGCAGUGGGGAAUAUUGGACAAUGGGCGCAAGCCUGAUCCAGCCAUGCCGCGUGUGUGAAGAAGGCCUUCGGGUUGUAAGCACUUUGUUGGGUAGAAAGACACUGGGUUAAUACCUGGUGUCAUGACGGUA
Molecule: ribosomal RNA, 456 nt
Filed under: uncultured bacterium
Lineage: Bacteria
Description: bacterial SSU rRNA
Rfam family: Bacterial small subunit ribosomal RNA
Source: RNAcentral